CUUUUUUAUAGACUGGAUUUAUAUAUUUAUAACUAAAAUUAGGUUAAAUUUUUUUUUUACAGAGUUAAAUAUUUAGAUUGAUGAAAGAUGUAUAAUAGUGACAGGGAUUAGAUACCCCAUUAAUGUACAUUGUAGCUUUGUCUUAGUUAAUAUAACUAAAAUAAUUUGGCAGUGAGCGACUCUUUUUAGGGGAAGGUGUGGUGUAAAGGAUGUUCCGCCUAAUAAUUUACUUUCGUUAUGUUGGUGUAUAUCUGGUUUAAUAUUAUCGUUGAGUAAGUGAGUUUGUGUAAUUUUAUUUAAGCCAAGUCUAUGUGCUGCUUAUGAAAGUAUUCAUGCGUUACAUUUAUAAGGUUUUGGUUGUAAUACUAAAAUAUUUAGGACUUAAAAGUAAUGUUCAAUAAGUUUGUGAGUGUGAAGUAAGUUUAGCUCAUGUACACACCGCCCGUCACCCUCGAUGCAUAUUGAGGUAAGUCGUAACAAGGUAAUU
RNAcentral lists this ribosomal RNA (487 nucleotides) under Taenia hydatigena. RNAcentral's name for it is "partial 12S ribosomal RNA". The record is from RNAcentral. Lineage: Eukaryota; Metazoa; Platyhelminthes; Cestoda; Cyclophyllidea; Taeniidae.